Molecule: non-coding RNA, 747 nt
Organism: Pelobates cultripes (western spadefoot toad)
Lineage: Eukaryota; Metazoa; Chordata; Amphibia; Anura; Pelobatidae
Source: the annotation of a GenBank genome assembly
GUUUAAUUGCUGAAAAUUAGCCUUUUAUGCCAAUUGCAACAGUUUCAGGUUUCCAUAUUACCCCAGCCCUCCUUAUUGAUAGUUAUGUUCUGACAUGGGUAUUGUGUAUCUGUGCAAUUAUAAACUUUCCAGAUUUCUCCUAAAAGCUAGCUUUCAGACCCACCAAUAUUAGUAGAAUUUAGAUGCAUACAUGUGAAGCUAAUGAUUCUUAGUUUAAAUUGGUUGAUUUAAUGUUGCAUCAUGUGCUGCAGAAAAACAUAUUAAAGGAUUUCAUGAUCCCUAUGCUGGGAAGACAUACAUGCAGUGUUAUUUGCAUUCAGGGCUUGGCGCCCUUCAUAGGGUCACUAAAUCUGCCCCUGCUGACAGACGGGAGCCCCACAUAUUACCUGGAUCUCCCUGGUGCUUUCCAUGCAGUCCUGGAAAUCAUGGGUUUUAAAGAGAUUAAGGGGAUAACCAGGAGAGACCUGAGAUGUUUUCUUGUAAUCUCUCAAACUAUAAUAGACUCACUGAUGACCUUCAAGUGGGUGGGCUGCUCUCCAGUUAUUAACCGUCACACAGCCAUUUGUUUUGUGCUAUCUGUGUUUCGCCCUGAUUACUGAAACCUUUUGUAUGUUAAUGGUCAACAGGCGUCCGUUCUGUUUAGUUAUGAUGGCUUCUAUCUGAUUUAAUGUGGUAAUGGUCGUAUACAGAUUCGGAACCAGAUUAGUUUUAUGUUCUGAAAUUACAGCACUCGGGAGCCACCUACAG